GGCUGGUCCGAAGGUAGUGAGGUAUCUCAAUUGAUUGUUCACAGUACAGAUUGAACUCCUUGUUCUACUCUUUCCCCCUUCUCACUACUGCACUUGACUAGUCUUUA
Molecule: unclassified non-coding RNA, 107 nt
Organism: Cavia aperea (Brazilian guinea pig)
Lineage: Eukaryota; Metazoa; Chordata; Mammalia; Rodentia; Caviidae
Rfam family: Y RNA
About the family: Y RNAs are components of the Ro ribonucleoprotein particle (Ro RNP), in association with Ro60 and La proteins.
Source: Ensembl